This 57-nucleotide transfer RNA is filed under the name Schistocephalus solidus. It matches the Rfam family "tRNA". Rfam says of the family: Transfer RNA (tRNA) molecules are approximately 80 nucleotides in length. Their secondary structure includes four short double-helical elements and three loops (D, anti-codon, and T loops). The record is from Rfam by way of RNAcentral. Lineage: Eukaryota; Metazoa; Platyhelminthes; Cestoda; Diphyllobothriidea; Diphyllobothriidae.
GAGCCCGUGGCUCAAUGGUUGGGGCGUUUGUUUUCUAACCAAUAGAUCGCGGGUUCA